This 3716-nucleotide unclassified non-coding RNA is filed under the name Hevea brasiliensis (rubber tree). Lineage: Eukaryota; Viridiplantae; Streptophyta; Magnoliopsida; Malpighiales; Euphorbiaceae. The record is from RNAcentral.
GUCAACAGUAUCAGUGCUCGUUCUAUAAAAUAUAAACCCUAAUUCAACAAAAGGCUUUUCUUCCCCUUUUUCUAUUCUUCACUCGUUCGAGCUUGGAGGUACCAUAUCUUCUUUCUCUCCUCCAUGUUCUACAUCGAUAUGCAUAUUUAUUAAUAUCCAUGUAGUUUUUUGCUACGUUGAGCUUUGCAGUUUUUUAUUGCAGUUCGUUCGUCGAAUUCUUCUUUAUUUUCUUCUUUUGGGCUCUAUAUAAGGUAAAUUCCGCUACUUCAUCGUUGUAAUUACAUAGAAUAUUUGUGGUUUUCUCCGUCGUGAUAGAAAGUAAUUCCCAUUGGUGAAAUUACAGGAGCAAAUUAUAUGGUGAAUUCCUUGUGCUUUGAAUCCCUAGUUUGGGCUUCGAAGAUUCCCCCGAUUUAGAAAUUUGAAAGUCGAACAGUUGGAUAAGUUUUUGUUUGCUUUGAUUUGUUUCAUUCAAGUUGUUCAUUUAUAUUUUCCGUCCACAAUAUGGGUAUACAAAGAUUCGGGUCAGGGAUGAUUUCCUGUUGUUGAAAUAGGGUAAUGUAUUUGAGUAAAGGGUAGGCGAAUUAAUAUUUAAAAAAAUGUUCCUAAAAUAAGCAUAGUACUGUUACACUCAUCUAUCAUCUGUCUGCAAACUGACAGCUUCUUUCUCGGGGAUCAUGAAAUGGGUAUCAAGACAGACUAAAAUGUUGAAUCACUUUUAUUAAUUAAAACUGGCUAAAGUAUUGGAAGAUGAUUUAAUUAUUGUAUUGUAUCCAAUAUAGGUUUUAGAAACUUAAAGUUCCAUUUUCUGGGGCACUCAUGAACUAGUGUGGUUUUAUUGGUUUUGUAAGUAAUAUCUACAUUGCUCAUAGAAUUACUUCACAUUAAAUCAUCAUUUUUUUUCCACAUGUCUAAUCCUUGCAAUUUCUUAACUCGUCUUGAAACUAGAGCUUCAAGUUUCAGUCUUAUUGACAAUUUAAUGUGUUGUUAGAUUCUUUCAUUCCAUUGGGCUUUUUUGCCAUCUGCUUUUCUCCUCAAUGGCAUGCAUUAUUCUUUGGGUCUUUCUUUUAUUGACCCAUCUUUGGCAAUCCUUAUGCAGGGAGCUUCUAUAGGACAUGGUGAUUUAGGCAGCACUGUUGUCGCAUAUAGAGAUUUUUUUAUAUAAAUUUUGGAUACAUCAGUUGUGCAAGGACACACAUGGCUAAUUCACUGCCUGGUGACUCUUCUCAUCAUGGAACAAACCUGCAGAAUUAUUCUCAGGAAAAACCAGAGGAAGGCAGUCGUUGGUACUUUUCUAGAAAGGAAAUCGAAGAAAACUCUCCAUCCAGAUGUGACGGCAUUGACUUGAAGAAGGAGACUUACUUACGUAAAUCCUACUGCACAUUUCUACAAGAUUUGGGCAUGAGACUGAAAGUGUGAGUUUUUGAAUAUUAAGUUGUGUCUGAUGUUCUUUGUCUAAACUUAAAAUGUUUUGAUUUUCAUAUUAUAUGAUUUUUUUUUCCACAUUUCCAUUAAUGAGAAGUUAGGUUGAAGUCUUAAAGAUCGGUUUAUUUUGCAUGUUCCAACUAUUUGUUUCUUUUUUAAUUGCCAAUUCACAUGUUUUAGAUUUAUGCACAUGUUAUGCAUUUGCUUUGAUCUUAUAAUUUUUUUCUAAUGAUAUAAUAGUCUUUUGUGGAAAAUAAUUUGCAAAAAAGUGUAGGUGGUUUUUUACAAUGUCCUCUGGCUACAAACUGUUGAUAAUGCUUAUCAAUGAGGGAUUAUAAGGACAACUGAUCUUAUUUAGAUUGUUGUUAUAAGAGUUCUUGACAACUUGAAGUUUGUGGAAUGAUUUUCUAAAAUUUUUUGAGGAAUUUUUGUCUUCAACUACUUGAUUAAUAUAAUAAACCCAUCAAAUUGAUAAUACUGUUGCACAUGGCAUGCACUUGUGUUACUAGCCAUCUGAUAAUAAGAUCAAGCACCAAGAAAUAAAAGGAAAAACAAACUGUUUGCUUGUUAAUUUGCAUGUGUAUUGCUGCUAAUGUUAGCGUCAGUUAUUUUUUCAUGGCACUGGGGAUGGUGAUCCCUUAGAAGUUUGUGAAAUGUCAUUGUAACACAUCAAUUUAGUAAAAUUUAGGGAAUAACUGAGUGUCACAGUUCUUUUUUAUGGUUUGUGAACUUCAAGUUUGGGAAAAAGAACACAAUUUUUUGGGUCUUCUAUUCUUCAGAUGGUCCAUGGAAAUUGUUAAGAAUUAUCUAUGCAUAUAUUUGCCUUUAGUGCUUCCUUAUAUUCCACAAUGGGGAAUAAGUCAGGAAAUACAACUCUUUAAGUGGCCUUGACAUGAAUGGUCAUGCCAAAAGUGAACUAUUAACUCUAUAACUUGUAAAUUAUGUGAACCAGUCCAAAUGCCUUUCCCUAGUCCUUCCCCGUGAAUACCCUCAAGCAAUUGCUGAAGCUUAAUGGUACUUCCUCUUUAUAUUUUUUCAUCCCUAGCGCCUGCCUCUGAAGAGCAUCAACUUUCUAAUCUAACCAUUUUCCUAACAGUGCUUUACAAGAAGUACCAACUUUUAACUCUCAACCUCUUUACAGCCCACCAAAUGGCAUUUAGACUUAUCUUCUAAGCCACCUGAGACUUGUUCCUUUGCCAUUUUCACUCCUUGCCAUAUCUUGCUUUCUGUUUGAGAUAUUUUUACCCCUAAAGCAGAAUCAGCGUCGAUGUGAAGUAUCAUUGCUACCUGGUGGCUUUUGCCACCUGCUAAAUUUAAUUCCUUGAUGGAAUACCAAUGCAGUGUGAGUUUUCUCUACUUUACAUGUAGCCAUCUGUCAAAUGUGGUUAAUGAACAUAUGUUCACUGUCAUGGCAUGAUGAACCUUGGAUUUUUUUUUAAAGUGCAGGCCCCAGCUAACAAUUGCUACAUCAAUAAUUUUCUGUCACCGAUUCUUUCUUCGUCAAUCUCAUGCAAAGAAUGAUAGGAGGACUAUUGCCACGGUGUGUAUGUUUCUUGCGGGGAAGGUGGAGGAGACUCCCCGUCCGCUGAAGGAUGUUAUCCUUGUUUCUUAUGAAAUCAUUCAUAAAAAGGAUCCUGAAGCUGUUCAGAGGAUUAAACAGAAGGAGGUAUAUGAACAGCAGAAAGAAUUAAUUUUACUUGGAGAGAGAGUUGUACUUGCAACUCUUGGUUUUGAUCUAAAUGUGCAGCACCCCUAUAAACCUCUUGUUGAUGCAAUAAAGAAAUUUAAGGUUGCUCAAAAUGCCCUUGCUCAGGUGGCAUGGAAUUUUGUGAAUGAUGGACUGCGCACAUCUCUUUGCUUGCAAUUUAAGCCCCACCACAUUGCAGCUGGUGCCAUAUUUCUUGCUGCAAAGUUCCUCAAAGUAAAGCUUCCGUCAGAUGGCGAGAAGGUCUGGUGGCAAGAGUUUGAUGUCACCCCACGCCAAUUAGAAGAGGUGAGCAAUCAGAUGCUUGAACUCUAUGAACAGAAUCGGCCUUCAACUAAUAAUGAAGCUGAAGGAAGCACUGUAGGUGGGGUUUCACAUCAGACCACAUCAAAAGCUUCGUCUGGCAAGGAAGAACAUGCAACAACUAACAGUCAUUCUCAGGCUGGAGGUAUAACUUCGAGACCAGGAACCUCAAAGUCAAUGUCACUUGCAGAUAAUCGUGGUGGGGCUCCAAGAACCACCCAUAAUCAAGGUAAUGAGCAUUUAAGUGGAGAGAUGAAGAGUGCCUCUGAUCACAAUGCUGAUGGUG